GUGGGGAAUCUUCCGCAAUGGACGAAAGUCUGACGGAGCGACGCCGCGUGAGUGAAGAAGGCCUUCGGGUCGUAAAGCUCUGUCAUCAGGGACGAACGGCCGGUGGAGUGGAAAGCCACCGGAUUGACGGUACCUGAGAAGGAAGCCACGGAUAACUACGUGCCAGCAGCCGCGGUAAUACGUAGGUGGCAAGCGUUGUCCGGAAUUAUUGGGCGUAAAGCGCGCGCAGGUGGGAUCUUAAGUCCAUUUUGAAAGUUCGGAGCUCAACUCCGUGAUGGGAUGGAAACUGGGAUUCUUGAGUACCGGAGAGGAAAGCGGAAUUCCCCGUGUAGCGGUGAAAUGCGUAGAUAUGGGGAGGAACACCAGUGGCGAAGGCGGCUUUCUGGACGGUGUCUGACACUGAGGCGCGAAAGCUAGGGGAGCGAACGGGAUUAGAUACCCUUGUAGUCC
Molecule: ribosomal RNA, 450 nt
Filed under: uncultured bacterium
Lineage: Bacteria
Description: partial 16S ribosomal RNA
Rfam family: Bacterial small subunit ribosomal RNA
Source: RNAcentral